ACACACCCCUCGAGCCCUGCUCGGCGUUGGGCGCGACCUCGACGGUCGGCCCCAAAGGCAGUGGCGGCGGCGCCCGUCCCCGAGCGUAGUGCACUCCCCGCUCCGGGGCCCGGCGGUCGCACGCCAAGACCACACAUGG
This 139-nucleotide unclassified non-coding RNA is filed under the name uncultured Ascomycota. RNAcentral describes it as "sequence contains ITS2". Lineage: Eukaryota; Fungi; Ascomycota. The record is from RNAcentral.